This 253-nucleotide ribosomal RNA is filed under the name uncultured bacterium. RNAcentral describes it as "partial 16S ribosomal RNA". It matches the Rfam family "Bacterial small subunit ribosomal RNA", at positions 524 to 776 of the family's 1533-position model. The record is from RNAcentral.
UACGGAGGGGGCAAGCGUUAUUCGGAAUUAUUGGGCGUAAAGGGCGCGUAGGCGGCUAGAUGUGUCAAAGGUGAAAUCCCCCGGCUCAACUGGGGAACUGCACGGGAAACAGCAGGGCUUGAGUUCGGGAGAGGGAAGCGGAAUUCCGGGUGUAGCGGUGAAAUGCGUAGAUAUCCGGAGGAACACCGGUGGCGAAGGCGGCUUCCUGGACCGAUACUGACGCUGAGGCGCGAAAGCUAGGGGAGCAAACGGG